AAGGGAGCAGCACCGAGCUCGCCUCCACACCCCCAACAGCUGUCUCCUUUCUAGGAUAAGCACAAUCAAACGGGGUUGCCAGGAAAGAGAACUGCAGGCCAGAUGUAUGCCUGGCUGCCUUCGCCACUCGGAGGCAGGGAGCGUGGGGGAGGGCCGCCAGUGCCGCAGUUCAGACUCCAGAUGCUGCCAGGCAGGGUGCCAGGCCGGCCUUUUAGAGGCAAUAAUCCGAACAGUUUAAAGGAGUAGAGUCAUUUUCAAAAAGGGAAAGAACGCUCUUCCUGGGCAAGUCAUUCAUCAAAGACGCCUUGAAAUGUAAGGCCCACGCUCUGCGGCACAGGUUCGGCUGCAUAAGCCGGAAGUGCCCGGCCAUCAGGGAAAUGGUGUUCCAGUUGCAGCGGGAAUGCUACCUCAAGCACGACCUGUGCGCGGCUGCCCAGGAGAACACCCGGGUGAUAGUGGAGAUGAUCCAUUUCAAGGACUUGCUGCUGCACGAACCCUACGUGGACCUCGUGAACUUGCUGCUGACCUGUGGCGAGGAGGUGAAGGAGGCCAUCACCCACAGCGU
Molecule: small RNA, 565 nt
Filed under: Pongo abelii (Sumatran orangutan)
Lineage: Eukaryota; Metazoa; Chordata; Mammalia; Primates; Hominidae
Description: processed transcript
Source: RNAcentral